RNAcentral lists this ribosomal RNA (961 nucleotides) under uncultured archaeon. RNAcentral's name for it is "bacterial SSU rRNA". It matches the Rfam family "Archaeal small subunit ribosomal RNA", at positions 1 to 934 of the family's 1478-position model. The record is from RNAcentral.
UUUUCCUGGUUGAUCCUGCCGGACCCCACUGCUAUCGAGGUGGGACUAAGCCAUGCUAGUCGAACGAUCCCGAACUAUGGCGGGGAAGUGGCAUACUGCUCAGUAACACGUAGCUAACCUACCCUCGGGACGGAGACACCCCCGGGAAACUGGGGCUAAUACCAGAUAGGAGUGGAGGUCUGGAAUGGUUCCAUCCUUAAAAGAUUUUGCGUCCAUGUUUCUUAUUCACGCCCAAGGAUGGGGCUGCGCCCGAUCAGGGUGUUGGUGAGGUAACGGCUCACCAAACCUUUGACCGGUACGGGCCGUGAGAGCGGUACCCCAGAGAUGGGCACUGAAACAGGGGCCCAGGCCCUACGGGGCGCCACAGGCGCGAAACCUCCACUGUGCACGAAAGUGCGAUGGGGCUACCUCGAGUGGCCCCCGAAUAAGGCCGUUUUUCUCUGGUGUAAUGAGCCGUAGGAAUAAGAGGGGGGCAAGACUGUUGUCAGCCGCCGCGGUAACACCAGCUCCUCGAGGUGGUGGGGACGAUUAUUUGGCCUAAAGCGUCCGUAGCCGGUUUGAUAAGUCUUUCGUUAAAUCCAGCGUCUUAAGCGGUGGGCUGCGAGAGAGACUGUAGAUCUAGGGGGUGGGAGAGGUCAGCUGUAUUUGGGGGGUAGGGGUGAUAUCCUAUUAUCCCGGGAGGCCCCCCAGUGGAGAAGGCUGUUGUCUAGAACGCUCUUGGCGGUGAGGGACGAGAGGUGGGGGAGCGAAUCGGAUUAUAUACCCGUGUUGUCCCAGCUGUAAACGUAUGCAGGUUAGUGUGUUGGGGCGGUCACGUGCCGCUUCAGUGCCGCAGGGAAGCCAUUAAGCCUGCCGCUUGGGAAGUACGGCCGCAAGGUUGAAACUUAAAGGAAUUGGCGGGGGAGCACCACAGGGGGUGAAGCUUGCGGUUUAAUUGGAUUCAACGCCGGAAAUCAUUAGU